This 253-nucleotide ribosomal RNA is filed under the name uncultured bacterium. RNAcentral's name for it is "partial 16S ribosomal RNA". It matches the Rfam family "Bacterial small subunit ribosomal RNA", at positions 524 to 776 of the family's 1533-position model. The record is from RNAcentral.
UACAGAGGGGGCAAGCGUUAUUCGGAAUUAUUGGGCGUAAAGGGCGCGUAGGCGGCAUGGCAAGUGGGUGGUGAAAUCCCUCGGCUUAACCGAGGAACUGCCGUCCAAACUGCUUCGCUUGAGACCGGGAGAGGUGAGUGGAAUUCCCAGUGUAGCGGUGAAAUGCGUAGAUAUUGGGAGGAACACCAGUGGCGAAGGCGGCUCACUGGACCGGUACUGACGCUGAAGCGCGAAAGCGUGGGGAGCAAACAGG